Molecule: ribosomal RNA, 624 nt
Filed under: uncultured bacterium
Lineage: Bacteria
Description: bacterial SSU rRNA
Rfam family: Bacterial small subunit ribosomal RNA
Source: RNAcentral
GAAAGGUAUGCUAAUACGGGAUAAUAUAUUUGAGAGGCAUCUCUGGAAUAUCAAAGGUGAGCCAGUACAGGAUGGACCCGCGUCUGAUUAGCUAGUUGGUAAGGUAACGGCUUACCAAGGCGACGAUCAGUAGCCGACCUGAGAGGGUGAUCGGCCACAUUGGAACUGAGACACGGUCCAAACUCCUACGGGAGGCAGCAGUGGGGAAUAUUGCACAAUGGGCGAAAGCCUGAUGCAGCAACGCCGCGUGAGUGAUGAAGGCCUUCGGGUCGUAAAACUCUGUCCUCAAGGAAGAUAAUGACGGUACUUGAGGAGGAAGCCCCGGCUAACUACGUGCCAGCAGCCGCGGUAAUACGUAGGGGGCUAGCGUUAUCCGGAUUUACUGGGCGUAAAGGGUGCGUAGGCGGUCUUUCAAGUCAGGAGUGAAAGGCUACGGCUCAACCGUAGUAAGCUCUUGAAACUGGGAGACUUGAGUGCAGGAGAGGAGAGUGGAAUUCCUAGUGUAGCGGUGAAAUGCGUAGAUAUUAGGAGGAACACCAGUUGCGAAGGCGGCUCUCUGGACUGUAACUGACGCUGAGGCACGAAAGCGUGGGGAGCAAACAGGAUUAGAUACCCUGGUAGUCC